UACCGGAUAAGCCCACGACGGCUUUGGUCGUUGCGGGAAAAGGGGGGGACCAUUUGGCCUUCUGUCAUCAGAUGAGUCUGCGUACCAUUAGCUAGUUGGUAGGGUAAAGGCCUACCAAGGCGACGAUGGUUAGCUGGUCUGAGAGGAUGAUCAGCCACACUGGAACUGAGACACGGUCCAGACUCCUACGGGAGGCAGCANUGGGGAAUU
This 210-nucleotide ribosomal RNA is filed under the name uncultured bacterium. RNAcentral describes it as "partial 16S ribosomal RNA". It matches the Rfam family "Bacterial small subunit ribosomal RNA", at positions 167 to 363 of the family's 1533-position model. The record is from RNAcentral.